RNAcentral lists this ribosomal RNA (1040 nucleotides) under uncultured bacterium. RNAcentral's name for it is "bacterial SSU rRNA". It matches the Rfam family "Bacterial small subunit ribosomal RNA", at positions 336 to 1393 of the family's 1533-position model. The record is from RNAcentral.
CUCCUACGGGAGGCAGCAGUCGGGAAUAUUGCGCAAUGGAGGAAACUCUGACGCAUGGACGCCGCGUGCAGGAAGAAGGUUUUCGGAUUGUAAACUGCUUUAGACAGGGAAGAAACAAGACAGUACCUGUAGAAUAAGCUCCGGCUAACUACGUGCCAGCAGCCGCGGUAAUACGUAGGGAGCAAGCGUUAUCCGGAUUUAUUGGGUGUAAAGGGUGCGUAGACGGGAAAUUAAGUUAGUUGUGAAAUCCCUCGGCUUAACUGAGGAACUGCAACUAAAACUGAUUUUCUUGAGUGCUGGAGAGGAAAGUGGAAUUCCUAGUGUAGCGGCGAAAUGCGUAGAUAUUAGGAGGAACACCAGUGGCGAAGGCGACUUUCUGGACAGUAACUGACGUUGAGGCACGAAAGUGUGGGGAGCAAACAGGAUUAGAUACCCUGGUAGUCCACACCGUAAACGAUGGAUACUAGGUGUAGGGUGUGAUAAACAUUCUGUGCCGUCGCAAACGCAGUAAGUAUCCCACCUGGGGAGUACGGCCGCAAGGUUGAAACUCAAAGGAAUUGACGGGGGCCCGCACAAGCAGUGGAGUAUGUGGUUUAAUUCGACGCAACGCGAAGAACCUUACCAGGGCUUGACAUAUACAUGAAAGUCUAAGAGAUUAGACCCCUCUUCGGAGCGUGUAUACAGGUGGUGCAUGGUUGUCGUCAGCUCGUGUCGUGAGAUGUUGGGUUAAGUCCCGCAACGAGCGCAACCCCUGUUCUUAGUUACCGGCGAGUUAAGUCGGGAACUCUAAGAAGACUGCCGGUGAUAAAUCGGAGGAAGGUGGGGACGACGUCAAAUCAUCAUGCCCUUUAUGUCCUGGGCUACACACGUACUACAAUGGCUGUAACAAAGGGAAGCUAAGCCGCGAGGUGGAGCAAAACCCAAAAAAGCAGUCUCAGUUCGGAUUGAAGGCUGAAAUUCGCCUUCAUGAAGCCGGAAUUGCUAGUAAUGGCAGGUCAGCAUACUGCCGUGAAUACGUUCCCGGGCCUUGUACACACCGC